GACGAACGCUGGCGGCGUGCUUAACACAUGCAAGUCGAACGGAAAGGCCCUGCUUUGGUGGGGAGCUCGAGUGGCGAACGGGUGAGUAACCCGUGAGUAACCUGUCCCUGACUGUGGGGUAACUUCAGGCAACUUGGUCUAAUACCGGAUAGGAGCUCCUGCUGCAUGGUGGGGGUGGGAAAGUUUCGGCGGUUGGGGGUGGAAUCGCGGCUUAUGAGCUUGUUGGUGGGGUAGUGGAUUACCAAGGCCUUGACGGGUAGCCGGCCUGGGCGGCUGACCGGACACAUUGGGACUGAGAUACGACCCAGCCUCGUACGGGAGGCAGCAGUGGAGAAUAGUGCACAGUGGGCGGAAGGCUGAUGUAGCAACGCCGCGUGCGGGAAGACGGCAUGGGGGUUGUAAACCGAUUUCGCCUGUGACGAGGCGUUAGUGACGGUAACGGGUAAAGAAGCACCGGCUAACUACGUG
This 468-nucleotide ribosomal RNA is filed under the name uncultured bacterium. RNAcentral's name for it is "partial 16S ribosomal RNA". It matches the Rfam family "Bacterial small subunit ribosomal RNA", at positions 28 to 507 of the family's 1533-position model. The record is from RNAcentral.